RNAcentral lists this unclassified non-coding RNA (377 nucleotides) under uncultured Oligoflexales bacterium. Its description in RNAcentral is "contains 16S-23S intergenic spacer region". The record is from RNAcentral. Lineage: Bacteria; Pseudomonadati; Bdellovibrionota; Oligoflexia; Oligoflexales.
UCCAACUUAUCGCUGGCAGUCUCCUGAGAGUGCACCUUUCGGUUAGCAACACAGGACAAGGGUUGCGCUCGUUGCGGGACUUAACCCAACAUGUCACCACACGAGCUGACGACAGCCAUGCAGCACCUGUCUUCUGGUCGUAUUGCUACGAAAGCCGUAUCUCUACGGAUGUCCAGAGAUGUCAAACCCAGGUAAGGUUCUUCGCGUUGCUUCGAAUUAAACCACAUGAUCCACCGCUUGUGCGGGCCCCCGUCAAUUCCUUUGAGUUUUAGUCUUGCGACCGUACUUCCCAGGCGGGGUACUUAGUGCGUUAGCUCCGCUUCGGCGGGGGUCAAGACCCACCAAAGCUAGUACCCAUCGUUUACGGCGUGGACUAC